GACGAACGCUGGCGGCGUGCUUAACACAUGCAAGUCGAACGGAAAGGCCUCUUUCGGGGGGUACUCGAGUGGCGAACGGGUGAGUAACACGUGAGUAACCUGCCCUUGACUUUGGGAUAACUUCAGGAAACUGGGGCUAAUACCGGAUAGGAGCUCCUGCUGCAUGGUGGGGGUUGGAAAGUUUCGGCGGUUGGGGAUGGACUCGCGGCUUAUCAGCUUGUUGGUGGGGUAGUGGCUUACCAAGGCUUUGACGGGUAGCCGGCCUGAGAGGGUGACCGGCCACAUUGGGACUGAGAUACGGCCCAGACUCCUACGGGAGGAAGCAGUGGGGAAUAUUGCACAAUGGGUGGAAGCCUGAUGCAGCAACGCCGUGUGCGGGAUGACGGCCUUCGGGUUGUAAACCGCUUUCGCUCAUGACGAAGCUUUGUGUGACGGUAGUGGGUAAAGAAGCACCGGCUAACUACGUG
RNAcentral lists this ribosomal RNA (467 nucleotides) under uncultured bacterium. RNAcentral's name for it is "partial 16S ribosomal RNA". It matches the Rfam family "Bacterial small subunit ribosomal RNA", at positions 28 to 507 of the family's 1533-position model. The record is from RNAcentral.